AAUCUCGCCCUGUGGUGGAUUCAUCCGGAUUUAUUGGGUUUAAAGGGUGCGCAGGCGGACUGUUAAGACAGCGGUAAAAUGUCGGUGCUCAACACCGGCCGGCCGUUGAAACUGGCAGCCUUGAGUGAGCGAGAAGUAUGCGGAAUGCGUGGUGUAGCGGUGAAAUGCAUAGAUAUCACGCAGAACUCCGAUUGCGAAGGCAGCAUACCGGCGCUCAACUGACGCUCAGGCACGAAAGCGUGGGUAUCGAACAGGCUUAGAUACCCUGGUAGUCCACGCAGUAAACGAUGAAUGCUCACUGUCCGGGCCGUUUAAGGCCUGGGUGGUCAAGCGAAAGCGUUAAGCAUUCCACCUGGGGAGUACGCCGGCAACGGUGAAACUCAAAGGAAUUGACGGGGGCCCGCACAAGCGGAGGAACAUGUGGUUUAAUUCGAUGAUACGCGAGGAACCUUACCCGGGCUCAAACGGAAGGGGACAGUAUGAGAAAUCAUACAUUCCUUCGGGACCGCUUCCGAGGUGCUGCAUGGUUGUCGUCAGCUCGUGCCGUGAGGUGUCGGCUUAAGUGCCAUAACGAGCGCAACCCCUAUCGACAGUUGCUAGCAGGUAAAGCUGAGGACUCUGUCGAGACUGCCGGCGCAAGCUGUGAGGAAGGCGGGGAUGACGUCAAAUCAGCACGGCCCUUACGUCCGGGGCGACACACGUGUUACAAUGGCAGGUACAGCGGGAAGCCACCCGGCGACGGGGCGCAGAACCCGAAACCUGUCUCAGUUCGGAUUGGAGUCUGCAACCCGACUCCAUGAAGCUGGAUUCGCUAGUAAUCGCGCAUCAGCCACGGGCGCGGUGAAUACGUUUCCC
RNAcentral lists this ribosomal RNA (855 nucleotides) under mouse gut metagenome. RNAcentral describes it as "bacterial SSU rRNA". It matches the Rfam family "Bacterial small subunit ribosomal RNA", at positions 521 to 1375 of the family's 1533-position model. The record is from RNAcentral.